This 149-nucleotide ribosomal RNA is filed under the name uncultured Methanoculleus sp. RNAcentral's name for it is "partial 16S ribosomal RNA". It matches the Rfam family "Archaeal small subunit ribosomal RNA", at positions 322 to 475 of the family's 1478-position model. The record is from RNAcentral. Lineage: Archaea; Methanobacteriati; Methanobacteriota; Methanomicrobia; Methanomicrobiales; Methanomicrobiaceae.
UCUACGGGACGCAGCAGGCGCGAAAACUUUACAAUGCGGGCAACCGUGAUAAGGGAACCUCGAGUGCCUGUAUAUGCAGGCUGUCCAGGUGUCUAAAACACACCUGAAGAAAGGGCCGGGCAAGACCGGUGCCAGCAGCCGCGGUAAUA